GACGAACGCUGGCGGCGUGCCUAACACAUGCAAGUCGAACGGAGAAGCUCCAGCUUGCUGGAGUGGAUCAGUGGCGAACGGGUGAGUAACACGUGAGCAACCUGCCCCUGACUCUGGAAUAAGCGCUGGAAACGGCGGCUAAUACUGGAUACGAGAAGGGUCCGCACGGGCACUUUCUGGAAAGGUGGUCGGUUGGGGAAGGUUUCGCGGCCUAUGAGCUUGUUGGUGAGGUAAUGGCUCACAAAGGCGACGACGGGUAGCCGGCCUGGGAGGGCGGCCGGCCACACUGCGACUGAGAGACGGCCCAGCCUCCUACGGGAGGCAGCGGUGGGGAGUAUUGCGCAACGGGCGAAAGCCUGAUGCGGCGACGCCGCGUGAGGGAUACCGGCCUUCGGGUUGUAAACCUCUUUCCGCAGAGAAGAAGCGAUAGUGACGGUACCUGCAGAAGAAGCCCCGGCUAACUACGUG
RNAcentral lists this ribosomal RNA (468 nucleotides) under uncultured bacterium. Its description in RNAcentral is "partial 16S ribosomal RNA". It matches the Rfam family "Bacterial small subunit ribosomal RNA", at positions 28 to 507 of the family's 1533-position model. The record is from RNAcentral.